GGACUACAAGGGUUUCUAAUCCCGUUCGCUCCCCUAGCUUUCGUCCCUCAGCGUCAGAAGAGACCCAGUAAGCCGCUUUCGCCACCGGUGUUCCUGAUGAUAUCAACGCAUUUCACCGCUCCACCAUCAGUUCCGCUUACCUCUGUCUCUCUCAAGCCCGGUAGUUUUGAAUGCAGUUCCUCGGUUAGGCCGAGGUAUUUCACAUCCAACUUUUCGAGCCGCCUACGGACUCUUUAAGCCCAGUGAUUCCGAAUAACGUUUGGGUGGUACGUCUUACCGCGGCUGCUGGCAC
RNAcentral lists this unclassified non-coding RNA (292 nucleotides) under uncultured fungus. RNAcentral's name for it is "sequence contains ITS1". The record is from RNAcentral. Lineage: Eukaryota; Fungi.